Molecule: ribosomal RNA, 478 nt
Filed under: uncultured bacterium
Lineage: Bacteria
Description: partial 16S ribosomal RNA
Rfam family: Bacterial small subunit ribosomal RNA
Source: RNAcentral
AACAAACGCUGGCGGCGUGCCUAAUACAUGCAAGUCGAACGGGGAAAGCUUUCGGGUGAGUACUAGUGGCGCACGGGUGAGUAAUACGUAGAUAAUCUGCCUUCGCGUUGGGGAUAACUAGUCGAAAGAUUAGCUAAUACCGAAUAAGACCACAAGAACUGAGGUUCUAGGGGUUAAAGGUUUUUCGCUUGAAGAUGAGUCUGCGCGAGAUUAGCUAGUUGGUGUGGUAACGGCUCACCAAGGCAACGAUCUCUAACUGGUCUGAGAGGGUGAUCAGUCACACUGGAACUGAGACACGGUCCAGACUCCUACGUGAGGCAGCAGUAGGGAAUAUUGCACAAUGGGGGAAACCCUGAUGCAGCGACGCCGCAUGAGUGAUGAAGGCCUUCGGGUCGUAAAGCUCUGUCGCAAGGGAAUAAUAAACUGAAUGUACCUUGCAAGAAAGGAUCGGCUAACUUCGUGCCAGCAGCCGCCGUAA